This 250-nucleotide ribosomal RNA is filed under the name uncultured bacterium. Its description in RNAcentral is "partial 16S ribosomal RNA". It matches the Rfam family "Bacterial small subunit ribosomal RNA", at positions 355 to 602 of the family's 1533-position model. The record is from RNAcentral.
UGGGGAAUAUUGGACAAUGGGCGAAAGCCUGAUCCAGCCACGCCGCGUGAGUGAUGAAGGCCUUCGGGUCGUAAAGCUCUGUGGGGAGGGACGAACGAACGGUCGAAGAGGCCGGAAUGACGGUACCUCCUUAGCAAGCACCGGCUAACUUCGUGCCAGCAGCCGCGGUAAUACGAAGGGUGCAAACGUUGCUCGGAAUCAUUGGGCGUAAAGCGCACGUAGGCGGCCUGUUAAGUCGGAUGUGAAAUCC